RNA transcript from Globicephala melas (long-finned pilot whale), 7616 nucleotides. It is a transcript of the gene named component of oligomeric golgi complex 6, with no coding region annotated. Lineage: Eukaryota; Metazoa; Chordata; Mammalia; Artiodactyla; Delphinidae. The record is from RefSeq and is a predicted model, not a curated record.
CCUGCGCGGCAGACGCGCGUCUGCGCGCUACGGGGCUGCCGGCGCGCUACUGGGCUGCCGGCGCGUCAGUGCUCUGGGCUAAGGUAGCUGGGGCCGAGUUGGGGGGCGGGACGUGCGGCGCUAUGGCCGAGGGCAGCGGGGAAGUAGUAGCAGUGCCCGCCACCGGGGCUGCCAACGGCCUCAACAAUGGGGCCGGCGGGCCCUCGGCGCAGACUAACAACCCGCUAUCGCGGAAACUGCGUAAGAUCCUGGACACACGGCUGGACAACGACAAGGAGAUGUUGGAAGCUCUCAAGGCACUCUCAACCUUUUUUGUUGAAAAUAGUUUGCGCACUCGAAGAAAUUUACGUGGAGAUAUUGAACGCAGAAGUUUAGCCAUCAAUGAAGAGUUUGUAAGCAUUUUCAAGGAAGUGAAGGAAGAACUUGAAAGCAUACAUGAAGAUGUUCAGGCAAUGAACAGCUGUUGUCAAGAUAUGACAUGUCGCCUACAGGCAGCAAAGGAACAGACUCAAGAUUUAAUAAUAAAAACCACUAAGCUUCAAGCUGAAAGUCAAACAUUAGAAAUAAGAGCGCAAGUUGCAGAUGCCUUCUUAUCCAAGUUCCAGUUGACUUCUGACGAAAUGAGUCUUCUCCGAGGUACAAGAGAAGGACCUAUCACUGAGGAUUUUUUCAAGGCAUUGGGAAGAGUAAAACAGAUUCAUAAUGAUGUCAAAGUUCUCUUGCGUACAAACCAACAAACAGCAGGUUUAGAAAUUAUGGAACAGAUGGCCUUGCUUCAAGAAACAUCUUAUGAAAGACUUUACCGGUGGGCUCAAAGUGAAUGCAGAGCAUUGACACAAGAAUCAUGUGACAUAUCUCCAGUACUGACUCAGGCAAUGGAAGCCCUGCAGGAUAGACCUGUCUUAUAUAAGUAUACCUUAGAUGAGUUUGGAACAGCUAGAAGAAGUACAGUUGUUCGUGGAUUUAUCGAUGCUCUUACAAGAGGGGGCCCAGGAGGUACACCUAGACCCAUUGAAAUGCACUCCCAUGACCCUUUGAGAUAUGUAGGAGAUAUGUUGGCUUGGCUCCAUCAGGCUACUGCUUCUGAAAAAGAACACCUUGAAGCUCUCUUAAAGCAUGUAACUACACAAGGUGUUGAAGAAAAUAUUCAGGAAGUUGUUGGACAUAUUACUGAGGGUGUGUGCAGGCCCCUAAAGGUUCGAAUUGAACAAGUAAUAGUUGCUGAACCUGGGGCAGUUUUAUUAUAUAAAAUUUCUAACCUCCUCAAAUUUUAUCACCAUACAAUCAGUGGCAUUGUUGGAAAUAGUGCAACUACAUUGUUGACUACCAUUGAAGAAAUGCAUUUGCUGAGCAAAAAAAUAUUCUUCAGUAGCUUGAGUCUUCAUGCCAGCAAAUUAAUGGACAAGGUUGAACUCCCACCACCUGAUCUUGGACCAAGUUCUGCAUUAAAUCAGACACUCAUGUUGUUGCGUGAAGUUUUGGCAUCUCACGAUUCUUCAGUUGUACCGUUAGAUGCCCGUCAGGCCGACUUUGUGCAGGUUUUAUCAUGUGUCUUGGAUCCUCUCCUCCAGAUGUGUACUGUAUCAGCCAGCAAUUUAGGCACAGCUGACAUGGCCACCUUCAUGGUCAAUUCACUGUAUAUGAUGAAGACAACAUUAGCUCUAUUUGAAUUCACCGACAGACGUCUGGAAAUGCUACAGUUCCAGAUUGAAGCACAUUUGGACACACUUAUAAAUGAGCAAGCUUCUUAUGUUUUAACUAGAGCAGGCGUGAGUUAUAUCUAUAACACCAUACAGCAACAUAAACCCGAACAGGGCCCUUUAGCUAAUUUUCCCAACCUAGAUUCUGUGGCACUGAAGGCUGCAAUGGUUCAGUUUGAUCGCUAUCUGUCAGCCCCAGACAACCUGUUAAUGCCACAGCUGAACUUUCUUCUAAGUGCCACAGUGAAGCAGACGACUCCCAUUCCAGCUCUGAAUUCUGCCGGGAUAGCAGGAGAGGUGCCACUUGUCCAGCUUGCUUGGGUAGCCACACCAGGAGGAACUCUGGAGACGGUGGAGGGACAGGGAUCUCUCCUCUGCAAGACUAGAGCUUUAUCUUCCAAAGUGGAGACGCCCCAGCAGGAGCGCCCCUGCCACCCAGAGGUCACCACUGAGGAAGAACGUAUGCGCUUUGUGUUUCUUGAGAAGAUAAGUUGCAGAUGACAGCGUCUGGGGAGGACCCACAGGUCCUGCUGGUCUUGGUCUGUGCCAGGAGAGAGCCGUUUCUGCCACCACACUUCAGGACAGACAUAUGCUCCUUUAUUUUUUCAAGUACUAAAAUGAAAAUGAAUACUGCCAGUCAAAAAGUACUAACUGAGAACGUGGAAUGGAGAAUGAGCGAGGAAUUGUUGCCUCUUGGUGAUGGCAUGGAAAAGCAAAGCUUUUGGAAUCAGGACAAGGUUGGAACAUAUGCUUACCUUGAAGGAAAAGCAGUGUCGGUACUGGCUACCUGGAGAGCUGUGACGGAAACCAGUCUAUGACUGAAAGCUGCAAUCAUGCCACGGGAGGUGAGAGUGAGGGUGACCGCCCACAUGAGAACAGACACACUUGUCUCCGACUGUUAAACUUCCUUUUACUGAGUCGUUGAUCACUCUGCAUUGUCAAUCACUGCUUGUCUCUGGACUAGGAAAGAGCCUGGUGGCCUGUACAGCAAGACAAAACGUGGCAGUUUGAUCGUAUCCUGUAUCUAGAGAAGAGCUUCAGGGAAGAUGGUCUGCGUAGCUCUGCAUUACGCUUCACUGGAGCACAGCUCACCAGAAGCAAAGCACUAGCAAGUGACAUUGUCCGGGACCCUUACCUCGAACUUUUUUCUACCGGAAAAAGGGGGAUAGACUGGGGAGGGGAGGGGAUGGAAGAUUCUUCCCUCCAUGUCUGACUUGAACAUCAUCCAUUUAUACCUCCUGGACCCCAGCAUUAGUUAAUGGAAGUAGGAUGUGAGAAAGUAAAAUGAGAACACAGACAGUCAGACAAUAGAAUCUCAGCCUAGGAAAGGACUUCAAAGCAUUUCUGUUCUACCCGGUUACCUGCCGUUGAAAUUCCUCUAUAAUAUCUCUGCCAAGCAGUUACCUGGUGUUUAGUUAGACAGUGAAUAAGACAAUCCACUCAGAGUGUGGCUAUCACCGUCCUCAGAAGGAUGCACUGUUCUCAGGAGGACCCUGUCACCUCUUGGAGAUCUAGAUGUUUUGGCCAUAGGUGUGACUUUUCUGACCUCAGGCAUUUUGUGUUGAUCUGGUUAGAUCGUUGGUCAGAAUGCAGGGUCACAGCUUCCAUCGUUAGGUCUCAUGACACUAGGAGGCUUAUUUGUUUAUUUUGCAAGGAGAGCCCAAGAGGAGACGAAAAAACCCCCAAAUGUUCUGCAAGCCCUUUCGCUUCCCAAACAUGGUAGCCAGCACUUCCACUGGCUCUGUUUAAGGGUUUCUUUCCCUUUGCUGUGUGUGACCAUGCCUAGCCACCCAAGGAACAGCCUGCUAUAUGCUCUGACCUGUGCUCUGAUCUUUCCUGAGGGAUAGUUUAUCGCACCAGACAUCUCGGCAGUCUGGUUCAGGCCACAGAUUCGGACCCCUGGAUUUCCCUUCCGGAUGCUAAUUUUGCCGUCACACCUCAAGGACACCACUACCCAUUCAAGCCCCAUUGCUUCCUCUUCCUUUUGUUUAUUUUCAGUCAUAGAGUUUGCCAGUAUGAUAGUAAAAUAUGACCAUAUUCAUGUAUUCUUUACUUCUAAAGAAUUGAAUGAAAAUAAAGUGAGCCAUUGCCUUCUUCUAAGGCGCUGAGGACCUUUUGGUCAAUAACCAUUACUAAGCUCUCAUUAUAUGCCAGAAGUCAACUUGAUAUUUUUUUCUAAUCCCAUCAUUGUUUUGAAAUACAUAUUUUGAAAUUGACCCUGAAAUUGACAGAUCUUUUAAUCUUUUUUUUUUUCUUUUUUUUUUUGGCGAUACGCGGGCCUCUCACUGCUGUGGCCUCUCCCGUUGCGGAGCACAGGCUCCGGACGCGCAGGCUCAGCGGCCAUGGCUCACGGGCCCAGCCGCUCCGCGGCAUGUGGGAUCUUCCCGGACCGGGGCACGAACCCGUGUCCCCUGCAUCGGCAGGCGGACUCUCAACCACUGCGCCACCAGGGAAGCCCCUUUUUAUCUUUUUAAACAUCAUUUUAAUGGUGUGGCUCUUCUGCUUCCUCCCAUCACAAUCCUUCUUGCAUUUUCUGCUCCAAGAGGUGGAGGAGUAGAGUUCUGUUCUACACCAAGGAGACAGUUGGCACUCAAUGAAUAAAAGAGAUCGUAGACCAGGGGAACACUCAGAAAAUAUAAUUAUUAAAGCAGAGAUGUAUGGUAGGGCUUUCAGCAACAGAGCUGCUUGAAACUCCUUCAGAAAGAAGAGCUAGAAUUCCUUAUCUUCCUUUUAUUUUAGCAUCCAGACUUCCCCUCCUGGCUCCUAAAAACCAACUUAAGCUCCUUUCUGCUCCACAGCUUGUCGGUGACUAAUCAUAGUAUAAAUGUUCCUCUCCAGCUAUAAGUAACACUGGAGAUGCCAAAACUCAGAGAAGCAUUAAAUCACAUGGAACGUUCGUAUCAGUAGAACGCAGGUCCUCUAAUGAUCACUACCUGCUAUAACAGUACGAUUCAAGGAUCCACCUGGAAACAGACCUCCUUAUCAUUUGCUGACAAAGAAGGCUAAGAAGUGCUUCUUAGCUGGAAAGACACUCAACUUAUAUUGUACCACUCUUGUUUUCUCCUCCCACAUGGGCCGUGUACCCUGAAGGAAAUACUUCUUAGAUGUGUUCGGAGGUUCUGUCCAUUCUUCAACCCUGAGGUGACAGUGGCAGAUGGCUACCGCCCUUCUCUUAGGCACCAUGAUACCUAAAUUACCACGUAACGAUGGGACCCAUUCUGAUGUCAGAAGCUAAUGUCCUGUGAGGCGAAUGGGCUGCUUCUCAGAAGACCUGGAAUAAAUGAGGGGCAGUGGAAGUGGUCCCCCCACCGAGUGCAAGCAGUAAGCAGGUUUCAGCAGAGGCUGUGAAAAGGUAGAGAUCAGAGCAUACAACAUUCCCUAAGGGACUUCUCGGAGGCUCACACUUCAUGUGCCAGACUCCCUCGCUUCAGGAUAAGUAUUUGACAUGCUUUGUUACCUGAUUAAACCUGCAUGUUUUUCCUUCUGGCUUAUUACUGUCUGAGGCACUGUGUGGUGAAAUGAAAAUUACUGGCAUUUGCCUGCCAAAUGCAGUGAUUCAGAGAAUUGUGAAUUAGGAUUCUUUAAUUACAGAGAUCUGUGCCUGAUAGGUUAAUUUCAAAAGCAAAGUUAACCACAUGUGUUCUAUUUAUUUUCAAACUAAUUCUAUUGAAUUACAUUUCAUUUAAAAGGUCUUCUUGGUCCCCUUUUAAUAAACAAAGAACAAAAGACAAAUGCUUUGUUAAGAUUCAAUCUCAUUUCACCUGGGCUACAGAAUGAAGAGGAAAAUUACAUUCUCAUGAAAUAGAAUUCAAACACCAGUGAUUUUUAUGAGAUGUUGCUUUAAUAGUACUAUUAUUUGGUAGUAUUAUUCUGAACUAUUUUUAUAUUAAAUUAUUUGAGAAUAAAUAAGGUGAUUUAUGGGGGGAAGACAGAAGGUUCUGUUUUAAGCUCACAUGGUUUUCUCUAUUUCCCAUUGAUGUUUAGAUUUUCAAGAAAUCACUAUAAAUGGUAUCUAAUUUUUAAUUUUAUAGACCAUUUUGUUAUUGUUAAUAGAUAUUAAUUUGAAACAACAGUAACAAUUAUUGCUACACAGUCUAUGAAGGCAGCUUCUUUAUUUUUAUUUUUUUAAUUAAUUAAUUUAUUUAUUCUUGGCUGAGUUGGGUCUUCGUUGCUGCGUGCGGACUUUCUCUAGUUGCAGUGAGCGGGGGCUACUCUUCCUUGCGUUGCCCGGGCUUUCUCAUGGCUGUGGCUUCUCUUGUUGUGGAGCACAGGCUCUAGGCGUGCGGGCUUCAGUAGUUGUGGCGCACGGGCUUAGUUGUUCCACGGCAUGUGGGAUCUUCCCGGACCAGGGUUCAAACCCGUGUCUCCUGCACUGGCAGGCGGAUUCUUAACCACUGCGCCACCAGGGAAGCCCCAAAGACAUUUACUUUUAAAGGAUAUAUCCAUUAUAGUUAUUUUAAGUUUUUCUUCCUUUAUUAAAAGCAAGGUGUGCACAUAAUAGUAAUUUGCAAAAGAUCCAGACAGUAGAGCCCCAAAUAAGAAGUUUGUCUCCCACCAUCCCCAUUACACAGAAUCACAGACUGUUAACAGUUUCAGAAUUUAUUUCCUCUAGAGCUGGUUUUAUAUUUUAUAUGAGAUGCCUCUAUUCUUUUCAAGAACUUUUUUUUUUUUUUAGCAUAUGCCCCUCUGUUACAUUAACCUCCAAUUUCCUAGGCUCCUCCCCAGAAGCAAAGCAUCUUGGGUGCCUCUUACGCAUGCUCCUGGAUAUUAUAUUAUCUAGGUAAUUAUUUAAAUGACUCUCAAGUGGAAGAUAGUUUCAAAAUGCUAACAACUUCUGCAUUUAAAUAAAAUGUGAAUAUAAGCAUGAAAAUGCUGUAGGGAAAGCACAGGUUGUUUCUCCUUUUAUAUAAUCCUUCAGGAUGUCAUUCCCUUGGAAAACUCUUCAGAAGUGGUGUCCCCCUCAUUGCCUCUGUCCAGGGACCUCACUGUCCUUCAUACACGGUGCAUACACUCCUCGUCCCCAGAUUAUUUACACUCACAGGGAGAUGCAGCUACCCCCAACUGGGUAGGAAAACCUUGCUUUGUUUGGGGGCUCCUUGUGACUCUGUUCUUUGAUUCUGUGCCAUGACACGCUUUGCAGGUAAACUCACCUCAUAGCACCAAGAGCUUGUAGUAUUAAAUUGAUCUCACUUCUUAGGUUGGCAUCCAAGAUAAACUCUCCCUAUACCAAAUUCUAACCAUUAAAAUAAAGCUCAAAUGUUUGGAGGGUAGUUUUAAAACUGUAACAUUAUUUCUUUAAAAUGACCACAACACAACAAACUUUUCUGGCCUUUCACACACCUUGAAUUUUGGUAACUCUUCCCAAAGCUAAAUGGGAAAAAAUUAAAGGCCAAUAUAUUAGUUUAUAUUUACUUUUAAAACAAUUAUUUUAUGUUUCUAUAACUGAUUUAUAACCAGUUGAUAAGAACUUCCAUUUUUCUGUUGCCCUCCUGGCUGUUUUUAAGGCACUGAGGUUCUACUGAGAAGGUUCUACUGAGAAGCCUUCUAAGAAGAUGUGUUGGGACCCAGUUCUUGAUUUAACAUAAAUUCUGAGAUUCCCUGCUGUUCCCUGUGAAUCCUUGAGUGGAUUGAGGAAAAUGAGAGAAACAUAAUUCUAAAACAGUAUAGCACGAUGCUACAAACUUUCUUUUUUUUUAUUUCUUUUAUGUUUUAUUUCUUUUCUUUUAUGUUUUAUUUCUUUUAUGUUCCCUUUAAAAACAAGGUAUAGGGUCUUCCCUGGUGGCGCAGUGGCUAAGAAUCCACCUGCUGAUGCAGCGGACACGGGUUCGAGCCCUGGUCUGGGAAGAUCUCACCCCAGACCGUGGAGUAACUAAGCCCGUGCGCCACAACUACUGAGCCUGCACUCUAGAGCCCGCG